CACUAAGAAGCUAAAUAGGGCCAUAGCGUCAGCCUUUUAAGCUGAAGAUUGGUGCCCCCCAACCACCCUUAGUGA
Molecule: transfer RNA, 75 nt
Filed under: Sicyopterus franouxi
Lineage: Eukaryota; Metazoa; Chordata; Actinopteri; Gobiiformes; Gobiidae
Description: tRNA-Lys
Rfam family: tRNA
About the family: Transfer RNA (tRNA) molecules are approximately 80 nucleotides in length. Their secondary structure includes four short double-helical elements and three loops (D, anti-codon, and T loops).
Source: RNAcentral